AAGCGUAACAAGGUCUCCGUAGGUGAACCUGCGGAGGGAUCAUUACAAGUGACCCCGGUUUACCACCGGGAUGUUCAUAACCCUUUGUUGUCCGACUCUGUUGCCUCCGGGGCGACCCUGCCUUCGGGCGGGGGCUCCGGGUGGACACUUCAAACUCUUGCGUAACUUUGCAGUCUGAGUAAACUUAAUUAAUAAAUUAAAACUUUUAACAACGGAUCUCUUGGUUCUGGCAUCGAUGAAGAACGCAGCGAAAUGCGAUAAGUAAUGUGAAUUGCAGAAUUCAGUGAAUCAUCGAAUCUUUGAACGCACAUUGCGCCCCCUGGUAUUCCGGGGGGCAUGCCUGUUCGAGCGUCAUUUCACCACUCAAGCCUCGCUUGGUAUUGGGCAACGCGGUCCGCCGCGUGCCUCAAAUCGACCGGCUGGGUCUUCUGUCCCCUAAGCGUUGUGGAAACUAUUCGCUAAAGGGUGUUCGGGAGGCUACGCCGUAAAACAACCCCAUUUCUAAGGUGAUCCUUACC
This 518-nucleotide ribosomal RNA is filed under the name Cladosporium sp. FTJZZJ12. RNAcentral's name for it is "eukaryotic LSU rRNA". The stretch from base 201 to 354 matches the Rfam family "5.8S ribosomal RNA". Lineage: Eukaryota; Fungi; Ascomycota; Dothideomycetes; Cladosporiales; Cladosporiaceae. The record is from RNAcentral.